Long non-coding RNA from Cynoglossus semilaevis (tongue sole), 373 nucleotides. RefSeq lists it as uncharacterized. The record is from RefSeq and is a predicted model, not a curated record. NCBI's taxonomy places the organism in Eukaryota, Metazoa, Chordata, Actinopteri, Pleuronectiformes, Cynoglossidae. The transcript has 2 exons.
AUGUGUACUUUUGCUUUUUGCUCAAAGAGUAUCUCUGACGUCAUUGUUUCAAAGUCAGUGUUUGAUUCAGUUGAAGAUGGAUUAAAAUGUCACACUUUUUGAAAAAGUUGUCCAAUGAAUUCUAUAUAUUCUCUUAUAUAUUAGGUUUUACUUUAGAUGUAAAAAAAGGACAAAAAUGAAUCUUAAAAUCAUUUGUCAUUUACAAACUACUUUAUUACAUUUAUUUCAUUUUGACAUCUUUCUCUUUGACUAUUUUCCUACUAAACCAUGUGCUCAAAUUGUUUUCUCCCGACUUUAACAUAAAAAGUUCCACAAAAACUCCUGGCUUUGUUGAAGGAAGGGUGUGAGUCUUUAAAAAAAAAAAAAAGAAAAG